RNAcentral lists this ribosomal RNA (756 nucleotides) under uncultured bacterium. RNAcentral's name for it is "bacterial SSU rRNA". It matches the Rfam family "Bacterial small subunit ribosomal RNA", at positions 346 to 1104 of the family's 1533-position model. The record is from RNAcentral.
ACGCAGCAGUGGGGAAUAUUGGGCAAUGGUCGAGAGACUGACCCAGCCAUGCCGCGUGCAGGAUGAAGGCUUUCUGAGUCGUAAACUGCUUUUACCAGGGAAGAAAAAAGGGGAUGCGUCCUCUACUGACGGUACCUGGUGAAUAAGCACCGGCUAACUCCGUGCCAGCAGCCGCGGUAAUACGGAGGGUGCAAGCGUUGUCCGGAUUUAUUGGGUUUAAAGGGUGCGUAGGCGGCUUUUUAAGUCUGGGGUGAAAGCCCGUUGCUCAACAACGGAACUGCCCUGGAAACUGGAGAGCUUGAGUACAGACGAGGGUGGCGGAAUGGAUACUGUAGCGGUGAAAUGCAUAGAUAGUAUCCAGAACCCCGAUUGCGAAGGCAGCUGCCUAGACUGUAACUGACGCUGAGGCACGAAAGCGUGGGGAGCGAACAGGAUUAGAUACCCUGGUAGUCCACGCCGUAAACGAUGGAUACUCGCUGGUGGCGACAGACUGUCACUGGCUUAGCGAAAGCGUUAAGUAUCCCACCUGGGGAGUACGCUCGCAAGAGUGAAACUCAAAAGAAUUGACGGGGGCCCGCACAAGUGGUGGAGCAUGUGGUUUAAUUCGAUGAUACGCGAGGAACCUUACCUAGGCUAGAAUGCGCGUGACCGGCUCAGAGAUGAGCCUUUCCUUCGGGACACAAAGCAAGGUGCUGCAUGGCCGUCGUCAGCUCGUGCCGUGAGGUGUUGGGUUAAGUCCCGCAACGAGCGCAACCC